UGUCUGUGAAGGUUCUCGUUCAUCCAGGUCAUGGUAUAUCUGUAAAAAAAUAAGUCAAGGCAACUGGACUUGCUGUAGUUAUUCUUGAAGACAUUCCACUGCGUGAGCUUACAG
This is a long non-coding RNA of Nanorana parkeri, 114 nucleotides long. RefSeq lists it as uncharacterized. Lineage: Eukaryota; Metazoa; Chordata; Amphibia; Anura; Dicroglossidae. The transcript has 3 exons. The record is from RefSeq and is a predicted model, not a curated record.